GAUUAACGACUAUCAGCUGUUUAGUAUGAAGCAUUCUUUGUGUAGCUGUUUGCUUCGUUCGUAAAAAUAGAUCAACGUAUUGUUGUGAUAUUUCACAUGAACCUUGUAAAAACUGCAACUGAAACUUAUAAUUUAUUGAAACAAGUAUAUGUUUGUCAUGUCGACGUGUUUUUGAGUGGUGUAAGUGAUGGCCAAGAAGAUGUUCAGGAUGAAUCACGCCCUUCUACGUCAAAAAUGGAUGAAAACAUCGAAAAAGUCAGUAAUUUUGGUCGAUCUGGUCAUCGACUAAGUAUUCGUGCAAUUGUUAAAUCUAUAGAAAUUGACAAAGAAUGUAUACGACAAAUUUUACAUCAAAAUUUCUUCAAAUUUGAACAAGAAUCUCGAAAAAAAUAUUUGUAUUGACACUUUGAACGUGAUUGAAAAUAACUCAAACUUAUUAGAAAAGGUAAUAACGUAUGAUGAAUCAAAUCUGCAUUUAAAAUAACAAUACGGUAGAUGGAGCGUUGAAAAAAGAUAAUAAAUUAUUAUAUCAUGUCUUCAUAUCAUUUUUCGGAGUUUAUAACAAUUAUAAAGAUGAUGGCUGUUUGUUUGUUUUGCAGUAGAAACGAAGAACUCAAAAAUGAAACUCAUAAUUUAUAGAAACAAGUUUUCUUCAAUGAAUGUUUAUCGCGUCCACGUGUAUUUGAGUAUUUUGAAAAUAUUUAUUAUCACAUCAUCUUUUUUAUGUUUCAGACAUUUACGAAAUUUACAAAAAUUUUAUUCCUGAUUUCUUUAUAAAGAAAUUUACUCCAAAUCUUAUUCUUCUCAAAAACUUAUUUAUAAUUAUCACAGUUCAAUUAUAAAUCGUCCUUUAUCUGUCUAUAGAACACAAAUAAGUAAAUUUAGUAUAAUUGGUGGUGACCCUGCUUCUUAUAUUCGCUGUUCUACAGAUGUCCCAACCACACAAAGGACUCAACCGGUACACCUCCAUCUCAUUCAAUUCAAAUCCAACAACUGGGAAUUAAGUUGAGGGCUGCAACCAUCCCGGAUUUCCAUAGAUGAGUCCCGGUCUAAUUUUUAAUAUAAAAAUAAAUCUGUGUUGUUUUUAAUUUAUAACUGUUUUUAUUCGUUGUGCUCUUUUGGAUACACAGUUUUUUUUAAUAAAUUUAUUUGUUUUUAAA
Long non-coding RNA from Diorhabda sublineata, 1160 nucleotides. RefSeq lists it as uncharacterized. The transcript has 2 exons. The record is from RefSeq and is a predicted model, not a curated record. NCBI's taxonomy places the organism in Eukaryota, Metazoa, Arthropoda, Insecta, Coleoptera, Chrysomelidae.